CCUACGGGGGACUGCAGUGGGGAAUAUUGCACAAUGGGGGAAACCCUGAUGCAGCGACGCCGCGUGAGUGAAGAAGUAUUUCGGUACGUAAAGCUCUAUCAGCAGGGAAGAAAAUGACGGUACCUGACUAAGAAGCCCCGGCUAACUACGUGCCAGCAGCCGCGGUAAUACGUAGGGGGCAAGCGUUAUCCGGAUUUACUGGGUGUAAAGGGAGCGUAGACGGCAGCGCAAGUCUGGAGUGAAAUCCCAUGGCUUAACCAUGGAACUGCUUUGGAAACUGUGCAGCUAGAGUGCAGGAGAGGUAAGCGGAAUUCCGAGUGUAGCGGUGAAAUGCGUAGAUAUUAGGAGGAACACCAGUGGCGAAGGCGGCUUACUGGACUGUAACUGACGUUGAGGCUCGAAAGCGUGGGGAGCAAACAGGAUUAGAUACCCCAGUAGUC
RNAcentral lists this ribosomal RNA (440 nucleotides) under uncultured bacterium. RNAcentral describes it as "partial 16S ribosomal RNA". It matches the Rfam family "Bacterial small subunit ribosomal RNA", at positions 338 to 795 of the family's 1533-position model. The record is from RNAcentral.